GACGAACGCUGGCGGCGUGCUUAACACAUGCAAGUCGAACGGAAAGGCCCGGCUUUUGUGGGAUGCUCGAGUGGCGAACGGGUGAGUAACACGUGAGUAACCUGCGCUUGACUUUGGGAUAACUUCAGGAAACUGGGGCGAAUACCGGAUAUAAGCACCUGAUGCAUGGUGGGUGUGGGAAAGUUUCGGCGGUUGGGGAUGGACGUGCGGCUUAGCAGCGUGUUGGUGGGGUAGUGGCUUACCAAGGCUUUGACGGGUAGCCGGCCUGAGAGGGUGACCGGCCACAUUGGGACUGAGAUACGGCCCAGACUCCUACGGGAGGCAGCAGUGGGGGAUAUUGCACAAUGGGCGGCAGCCUGAUGCAGCGACGCCGCGUGCGGGAUGACGGCCUUCGGGUUGUAACCCGCUUUCGCCUGUGACGAAGCGUGAGUGACGGUAAUGGGUAAAGAAGCACCGGCUAACUACGUG
This 468-nucleotide ribosomal RNA is filed under the name uncultured bacterium. RNAcentral describes it as "partial 16S ribosomal RNA". It matches the Rfam family "Bacterial small subunit ribosomal RNA", at positions 28 to 507 of the family's 1533-position model. The record is from RNAcentral.